AACCUGGUUGAUCCUGCCAGUAGUCAUACGCUUGUCUCAAAGAUUAAGCCAUGCAUGUCUAAGUAUAAGCAACUUA
This 76-nucleotide non-coding RNA is filed under the name Daphnia pulex (common water flea). Its description in RNAcentral is "Eukaryotic small subunit ribosomal RNA". It matches the Rfam family "Eukaryotic small subunit ribosomal RNA", at positions 1 to 76 of the family's 1831-position model. Lineage: Eukaryota; Metazoa; Arthropoda; Branchiopoda; Diplostraca; Daphniidae. The record is from Rfam by way of RNAcentral.